GAAGGUUUUCUAACCUUGAACAACUCCUUGAAGUAAGGGCUGCACGCGGAGAGGACAACCUUGUGCGCCUGGAGACGCCUACCAUCGCAGGCUAAGGUGACAUCAACGAAGUCCUCGUCAUCCCUGAGGGCCUCGAAUUGGCUGGAGACACUUUAGAAAUUUUCGAAAGAUAUAGAAUAUAAAAGAUUCAUUGAGACGAAGAGGGUGAGGGUGGUUUCGCAGGUCAGGCCUGUUUUACUGCACCCUCGUGCUACUGAUUUGAGAUGAGGCUCUCAUUACUCUGGAAAAAAAU
Apis mellifera (honey bee) is the source of this 292-nucleotide long non-coding RNA. RefSeq lists it as uncharacterized. The record is from RefSeq and is a predicted model, not a curated record. Lineage: Eukaryota; Metazoa; Arthropoda; Insecta; Hymenoptera; Apidae. The transcript is spliced from 2 exons.